AUGGGUAAUCCUCCAGCUAAAGCUACUUAAAUUUGUGCUAUACUGCAUGUACCUUUUUUCACACAGAAAGUUACUCCCCCUGACUGAGUUGGUGAGUUAAAGAAGAAAAAAAGGCGGCUAGCAGCACUGUGAUGGCAGCAUUUCACCUUGCUUGGUUUGUACUGGGUCUUUUUGUCAUCAGCAGAUGGAUGGGAAAUGAAUGGAGAGAGAUGGCUGCCAUGGAUAGUAUUUGCAGAAUUAAGCAGAUGAAUAUCAAAUACCUUUGAUUAGCCACAAAGAGAAUUUACAAGUGGUAAAGGGGAAUGUGCCUGACCUAAAAAGGAGGGGAGAAGAAGCUUCAUAAUGUCUUCUUGAGGUUAAUCAAUGUACCAACAAGGAAUGAUUGCCAAUACAAACCUGCAGAAUGGAGUAUUUGGGGUCAGAAAAGCACUAAAGCUGAGUGGGGUGUUUCCACAUUUUCAAUGACCUUUUCAGCCGAAGUGCCAUGGCGAGGCCAUUUAUACCACCCUCUUCCAUAAAGAUGUAGUGCUACAGCAACUGUGAUCUUCCUGUACUUUGCAAGGGAGAAGACAGCAGCAGAAGAUGAGGAUCCACUUUGCAAAGGCUUUCAUGGUUGUGAAACUGAAGGAACUUGAGUUUAAACCUUCUGUGAAUGACUUUUCCAGAGGUACUGUAUUCCAGUAAAAUCCACUGCCUUGUUUUUUCAUAGGCUGUGUAAUCAAAUAUAAUGACAUCUAUGAUAAUUUGAAAGUUCUGAUGUGCUCAAAAGUGGGGAGAAAGCAUGUUAGAGCUUCUCAGCAUGUCAAUGAGUGACCCCACCACCAAACAGCUGUUAUUUGAUGAUGUGCUGUGGAAAAGCCAGAUAAUUUAUGUCCUUUCUAUCCGAAAUUGUUACACUCCUUUACAUACAUCUCUCUUGAGUCUCCCAAUGGCAUACAAAGCCCAGAGAAAUUACAGUAAAAUCAGCCAUCCAUCCAUCAGCUCAGGCAAAUAAAUUUACUAGUUUAGUCUUUGUUUGCUUUUGCCUUUUGGUUUUUUCUUUCUUAAAUAGAGGAACUGUUAACUCAGUGCUCUGUGAUAGUUUAAUCUCACUGUAGUGAAGAGCUGUGGUAUCACACCUAUCCCCAUUCUUUUCAAUCUUCAUAUUAAAUCUCCUACACACACCCCAAGCAUGAGGGAGAAGAUAGACUGUACAUUGCCAUCCUUCCUAAUGCUCUUCCUCAUUGUCAGUUUUCUUCCACUCUUAAUUCUCCCUCAAGGGUCUAAUGAUAUGACAAGUUUUUCCUGUACACUGAGUCCUUUCCAAAGACCAGCUUCUCUGUCCCAAUAUUUGCUUCUCUCAUUACACUAAGCUUCAGCUGUCUGAUAUCCCUGGAAAUGACACUUUCUAUUAACACAUAAAAGGAAAAAAAAAAGAAAAAAAAGUGGGGUACUGGUGGCUUACCUGUCAUUAUGACUUUGACAAAGAAAACUACAAAUCAAAGAGAUUUUAGUACUUGGAUUGGCUAUUUUAGGGGUGAUAUGGUUUGAAGCUGGCUCCCUGCCAAGUCUCCAAACCCUACCAGAAGAG
Pipra filicauda (Wire-tailed manakin) is the source of this 1570-nucleotide long non-coding RNA. RefSeq lists it as uncharacterized. The record is from RefSeq and is a predicted model, not a curated record. Lineage: Eukaryota; Metazoa; Chordata; Aves; Passeriformes; Pipridae. The transcript has 4 exons.